GCACUCGAGCCAACGAGAUUGCAGCGCUUCCCGUUCGCUCAGCUUAUACUUAAGCUCGAUAUCGGCUAGUUAGUACUGAAGUGGGUGACCAUUUGGGAAUCCUGGCUGUCGAUUGUU
Molecule: ribosomal RNA, 117 nt
Filed under: Capronia coronata CBS 617.96
Lineage: Eukaryota; Fungi; Ascomycota; Eurotiomycetes; Chaetothyriales; Herpotrichiellaceae
Source: RNAcentral